UAGGGAAUCUUCCACAAUGGGCGCAAGCCUGAUGGAGCAACACCGCGUGAGUGAAGAAGGUUUUCGGAUCGUAAAACUCUGUUGGUAGAGAAGAACGUUGGUGAGAGUGGAAAGCUCAUCAAGUGACGGUAACUACCCAGAAAGGGACGGCUAACUACGUGCCAA
Molecule: ribosomal RNA, 165 nt
Filed under: uncultured bacterium
Lineage: Bacteria
Description: partial 16S ribosomal RNA
Rfam family: Bacterial small subunit ribosomal RNA
Source: RNAcentral